Molecule: ribosomal RNA, 386 nt
Filed under: uncultured bacterium
Lineage: Bacteria
Description: bacterial SSU rRNA
Rfam family: Bacterial small subunit ribosomal RNA
Source: RNAcentral
AUUGAACGCUGGCGGCGUGCUUAACACAUGCAAGUCGAGCGGUAACAGGCGUAGCAAUACGUGCUGACGAGCGGCGAACGGGUGCGUAAUACAUCGGAAUCUGCCUAGUAGUGGGGAAUAACCCGGCGAAAGCCGGGCUAAUGCCGCAUACGAUCCACGGAUGAAAGCGGGGGACUUUCGGCCUCGCGCUAUUAGAUGAGCCGAUGUCGGAUUAGCUAGUGGUGAGGUAACGGCUCACCAAGGCGACGAUCCGUAGCUGGUCUGAGAGGACGGCCAGCCACACUGGGACUGAGACACGGCCCAGACUCCUACGGGAGGCAGCAGUGGGGAAUAUUGGACAAUGGGGAAACCCUGAUCCAGCGACGCCGCGUGUGUGAAGAAGGCCU